Molecule: ribosomal RNA, 504 nt
Filed under: Chelonibia patula
Lineage: Eukaryota; Metazoa; Arthropoda; Thecostraca; Balanomorpha; Chelonibiidae
Description: partial 16S ribosomal RNA
Rfam family: Bacterial large subunit ribosomal RNA
Source: RNAcentral
UGAGAUUUAAAGAGCCGCAGUAUCCUGACUGUGCUAAGGUAGCAUAAUCAUUAGUCUUUUAAUUGGAGACUGGUAUGAAUGGUUAAACGAGAAAUCAACUUUUUUUGUUGUAAAUCUUGAAUUUAACUUUUUAGUGAAAAGGCUAAAAUUUUUCAAAAAGACGAGAAGACCCUAUAGAGUUUUAUAAUCAAGGGAAUAUUUCUUUCUUAGAUUUUUAUGAGAGGUAUUUACUGUAGUUAUUUUGUUGGGGCGACAUUUAGAUAUAAAAAACUCUUUAUUUUUAAAACUUUUAUGAAAGGUAAAUUGAUCCUUUAAAAAAGAUCAUAAGAAAAAAUUACCUUAGGGAUAACAGCGUAAUCUUUUUUGAGAGUUCUAAUCGACAAAAAGGUUUGCGACCUCGAUGUUGGACUAAAAUUAAGGCAGGGUGCAGCAGUUCUGCUAUAAGGUCUGUUCGACCUAUAAUUUUUUACACGAUCUGAGUUCAGACCGGCGUAAGCCAGGUUG